This 333-nucleotide unclassified non-coding RNA is filed under the name soil metagenome. RNAcentral describes it as "partial contains 5.8S ribosomal RNA, internal transcribed spacer 2, and large subunit ribosomal RNA". The stretch from base 1 to 120 matches the Rfam family "5.8S ribosomal RNA", at positions 35 to 154 of the family's 154-position model. The record is from RNAcentral.
GAUGAAGAACGUAGCGAAAUGCGAUAAGUAAUGUGAAUUGCAGAAUUCAGUGAAUCAUCGAAUCUUUGAACGCACAUUGCGCCCGCCAGAAUUCUGGCGGGCAUGCCUGUUCGGGCGUCAUUUCAACCAUCAAGCCCCGGCUUGUGUUGGGGACCUGCGGCUGCCGCAGGCCCUGAAAACCAGUGGCGGGCUCGCUAGUCACUCCGAGCGUAGUAAUACAUCUCGCUCAGGGCGUGCUGCGGGUUCCGGCCGUUAAAAGCCUUAUUUACCCAAGGUUGACCUCGGAUCAGGUAGGAAGACCCGCUGAACUUAAGCAUAUCAAUAAGCGGAGGA